Molecule: ribosomal RNA, 465 nt
Filed under: uncultured bacterium
Lineage: Bacteria
Description: partial 16S ribosomal RNA
Rfam family: Bacterial small subunit ribosomal RNA
Source: RNAcentral
GACGAACGCUGGCGGCGUGCUUAACACAUGCAAGUCGAACGGAAAGGCCCCCUUGUGGGGUACUCGCGUGGCGAACGGGUGAGUAACACGUGAGUAACCUACCCUUGACUUUGGGAUAACUUCAGGAAACUGGGGCUAAUACCGGAUAGGAGCUCCUGCUGCAUGGUGGGGGUUGGAAAGUUUCGGCGGUUGGGGAUGGACUCGCGGCUUAUCAGCUUGUUGGUGGGGUAGUGGCUCACCAAGGCUUUGACGGGUAGCCGGCCUGAGAGGGUGACCGGCCACAUUGGGACUGAGAUACGGCCCAGACUCCUACGGGAGGCAGCAGUGGGGAAUAUUGCACAAUGGGCGGAAGCCUGAUGCAGCAACGCCGCGUGCGGGAUGACGGCCUUCGGGUUGUAAACCGCUUUCGCCUGUGACGAAGCGUGAGUGACGGUAAUGGGUAAAGAAGCACCGGCUAACUACGUG